RNAcentral lists this unclassified non-coding RNA (238 nucleotides) under Chroogomphus rutilus. RNAcentral describes it as "partial internal transcribed spacer 2". The record is from RNAcentral. RNAcentral also lists the same sequence under 1 other name. Lineage: Eukaryota; Fungi; Basidiomycota; Agaricomycetes; Boletales; Gomphidiaceae.
AAUUCUCAACCCCUCUCGAUUAGCUUCGAGGGGGAGCUUGGAUAGUGGGGGCUGCCAGAGACCUGGACCUUUGCGUCUGGGACUUGGGCUCUCCUGAAAUGCAUCGGCUUGCGAUCGACUUUCGACUUUGCGCGACAAGGCUUUCGGCGUGAUAAUGAUCGCCGUCUUCUGAAGCGCAUGACAGAAGGUCUCGUGCCUCCAACACGUCGACAUCGCCUUCGAUGUCUUCCUUCUUUAU